AAACAUCCUUGUCAACUGAUAAGAGUCAUCCAGGAGACAUCUUAGUGUAAAACGUCAUAUCUCCAGACACUUCACAGAUAAGUCGACCCGAUGUAAUCAGAGUGUUCAUCAUGAUUCCAACGGUGUUCUUCGUGGUGCCGGUGGUGUUUUCUUUUUCGAACAUAGUGCGAUGCGACGUGAUAAUGGCGGGUCAAAAUUGCACAAUACCAUUAACAACGACCACAACAACAGUAUUAUCAGCUGCAACAACAACAACUCCAUCAAUAUCAUCUGCAAUAACAAAAGCUACAACAACAGCAGCAACAAAAACAACAACAGCUUCAUCAGCGACAACAGCAGCACCUACUACGAAAUCAACAAGUCCGUCUGGUCGAAGGAAACGCAGUGCAGCCCAACAAGAGUGUGUUCCAAACGCAAGUUGUGAGCUGAACGAACAAACAAUACUGAUGUGCAGAUGCAACACUGGCUACUCCGAAGACAAAGGAUUGUGUACAAACAAUGGCGCAGACUAUUUGAGAGGGUCGGCACUUUCAGUUACCUUGGUGACGACAGUGAUGCUGUUUUUUAUCUAGCAAACCAAUCUACCAGUGCUUCAGCGGAAAAUUGACUUGUUUAUACUAUCGCCUUACAUUUCCAAUAUUUUGCAUCCAUCGAAACAAUUGUUUUUGAAUAUUUUAAACAUAUCCGAUCGUUUACAUCAAUACACGUCACAACUUAACUUCUUUUCCAAUAACACAAUAAAACAUAAUUGAACAAGAAAUACCCGUUGAAGUCUUAAAAAAAACAAUAUGAACAAACUUCCGCCAACUAAUAUGCUAAAUAAUAAUGGCAAAAACAGACAGGAGAAUUCAAGCGCGUGAUUUGCACAAUAUUGGCGCUUGAUCUGGCUUUGAAAGUGCGUGUACCCUGUGUCUACAGAAUAUGUCAACUAGAGUGUACAAGUGUCGGAGUUCCGGUUGUCUGUGCAUGCCUGAUGAAGCCGUUGUGCCGACCAACUAGCAAUGCCAGAUCAACCAAAACAGUGUGGUUUCUUGUAGGCACAUGAGCGCCACUUUUGGUCGGAUGAUUUAUUAAUCUAAUAAAAGAGUUGCACACAAAA
RNA transcript from Dreissena polymorpha, 1099 nucleotides. RefSeq lists it as uncharacterized. The transcript has 5 exons. The record is from RefSeq and is a predicted model, not a curated record. NCBI's taxonomy places the organism in Eukaryota, Metazoa, Mollusca, Bivalvia, Myida, Dreissenidae.